This 650-nucleotide ribosomal RNA is filed under the name uncultured marine eukaryote. RNAcentral describes it as "bacterial SSU rRNA". It matches the Rfam family "Eukaryotic small subunit ribosomal RNA", at positions 570 to 1069 of the family's 1831-position model. The record is from RNAcentral.
GAUAUCCACUGUGGAAUUCGCCCUUCCGGUAAUUCCAGCUCCAAUAGCGUAUAUUAAUGUUGUUGCUGUUAAAAAGCUCGUAGUUGGAUUCAGAGGUGGGGUUGUGGGUCGGGUGUGGCCCGGCAGCUUGUCUCCGUGUGCCGCUCCCAAUCAACCCGCGUUUGCCCCAGCCUCCUAUCGCACGGAAACGGAGUCCUGCUGGGGUCUCCUUAACUGGGGGUUCCAGCGCUUCCGCGCACAACGUGCGCUUACGGACCGUCCGUGGACGUUACUGUGAACAAAACAGCGUGUUCAAAGCAAGUGGCUUGCCUGCCCUGCAUGUUAAAGCAUGGAAUAACAAGGCAUCGACCACUCGGCGGUGCUUUUGUUGGUCUUUCCCUCCCGGUGGGAAUGCGCAGGCGUGCACACUGCCGGCCUUCUGGCCGGUCUGGGUGCCGUCUCUUCGAGAUCAAUAGGGGCAAACGGGGAGAUACCUAUUGUGGGGAGAGCGGUGAAAUGCGAUGACCCCCAUAAGAGGAACUUCAGCGAAAGCAGUUCUCAAGACUGCCUUCGUUAAUCAAGAACGAGACUGUGGGGAUCAAAGAUGAUCAGAUACCGUCGUAGUCCACUAGCGUAAGCGAUGCCGACUCAUCAUUGGGGGGCAUCUCUAA